GACGAACGCUGGCGGCGUGCUUAACACAUGCAAGUCGAACGAAGUGGCGAACGGGUGAGUAACGCGUAAUCAACCUGCCCUUCAGAGGGUGACAACAGCUGGAAACGACUGCUAAUACCGCAUACUGAAGGAGGGGAUUGCGUCUGAUUAGCUAGUUGGAGGGGUAACGUCCCACCAAGGCGAGGCUCAGUAGCCGGUCUGAGAGGAGGAUAGGACACGUUGGGACUGAGAGACGGCCCAGACUAUUACGGGAGGCAGCAGUGGGGAAUCUUCAGCAAUGGAAGAAAGGCUGACGGAGCAACGACGCGUGAGUGAUGACGGCCUUCGGGUUGUAAGGCUCUGUAAGUCGGGACGCGGUACCGGAAUAGAAAGCCACGGCUAACUACGUGCCAGCAGCCGCGGUAAUUC
This 408-nucleotide ribosomal RNA is filed under the name uncultured bacterium. Its description in RNAcentral is "partial 16S ribosomal RNA". It matches the Rfam family "Bacterial small subunit ribosomal RNA", at positions 28 to 526 of the family's 1533-position model. The record is from RNAcentral.